GCUGCGAGCGUCCAUCGUGCUUCCCUUCCUUGCCCUCCGAGUUAUGUUCGAUGAUGGAAGAGCAUUGAAACAGAGGAUUGUAGCUUUUAAAGGGCCAACGACCUAACCGGAGGGAGUUCGAUGCCACGUCAGGGAGGAUUCAAGAGGAGGAGUGGAGCUUCGAGAGACAACCAACGCCCCAGCCUGAGGAAUCGGAUCUCAAUGCCACCUGAUCGCUUGACUCUUCACCGUGGCAGCGCGUGUGAGAGGAAGGGACUGGAUUAUAUUGCUGGCGUUGGCGGAGGUGAAGCGUGUCGGGAGGCCAAACGCGGCAGCCACCGUGAAUAUGCAAAUCGGCGGCGACACGAAGGACGGACGGUCGGAGGGCUGAGGCUGUUGCUAACGUUUUAAUGCCGAGGCGGGGAGGGCUGAGGCGAGCCUGGAUCCGGGGCCUGCGGACACAUGGAUACUGAGGAACUGUCUGGGAGAAGGACUUACCUGGGCAUAGGACGUUCGCUGACUGGUUGAGAGGCAUCCAAACGCUCGGCCACAUCCUUUGACACUAGAUGAUGCCUGCA
This is a long non-coding RNA of Eriocheir sinensis (Chinese mitten crab), 557 nucleotides long. RefSeq lists it as uncharacterized. The transcript has 4 exons. The record is from RefSeq and is a predicted model, not a curated record. Lineage: Eukaryota; Metazoa; Arthropoda; Malacostraca; Decapoda; Varunidae.